UUUCCGUAGGUGAACCUGCGGAAGGAUCAUUAAUAAAUGGUCUACGUUUUUUAAGUAGACGCUUAAUAAUCCUACCCUUUGUGAAUUUGUUUGCUUUGAAAUAAUUUUUUUAAAAUUAUUGAAUGUCUUUCCCUGUUGAAUCGGUUGUCUUAAUGGCAAGUGAUUCGCAGGGGAGUGUCAAUAAUUUUUAAAAAGACCUUUUUUAAAUUAAACUUUUUGUAUUCAUUUGUCUAAAAUUAUUUUUAUAAUAUAAAAACAACUUUUGACAAUGGAUCUCUUGGUUCUCGCAACGAUGAAGAACGCAGCAAAAUGCGAUAAGUAGUGUGAAUUGCAGAAUACGUGAAUCAUCGAAUCUUCGAACGCAUAUUGCACUUUUUCAGUUUACUAAAAAGUAUGUCUGUUUGAGUAUCAGUAAAAUAUUCUCAUAAAAAACAUUGUUUUUUUUAUGGUUAUGAGUGUUUUACAACGAUACAAGUUGUUUCACUUUAAAUUUUUUUAAAAUUUGAAUUUUUCUAAUUUUAAAAUAAAAUUGGAUAAAAUUUUCCCGUAAAAAAGGAAUAACCUAACAAUUUUAGUUUUUUUGAUUAGAAUUUUUCAUUAUAAGGAAAAUUUAAUAAAUAACUUGAUCUCAAAUCAGAUAAGAGUACCGCUGAACUUAAGCAUAUCAAUAAGCGGAGGAAAAGAAACUAACAAGGAUUCCCUUAGUAACGGCGAGUGAAGCGGAAGAGCUCAAAUUUGAAAUCUUCAAGGUUUACCUUGACGAAUUGUAGUUUAAAGAAGUGUUUUCUGUUGAAGUUGGUAAAAGUUCUUGGAAUGGACAUCAUAGAGGUGAGAAUCCCGUAUUUGAUUAUUAUUUCAGCUGUGUGAUACACUUUCAAAGAGUCGGAUUGUUUGGAAUGCAGUCCAAAUGGGUGGUAAAUUUCAUCUAAAGCUAAAUAUUGGCGAGAGACCGAUAGCGAACAAGUACCGUGAGGGAAAGAUGAAAAGAACUUUGAAAAGAGAGUUAAACAGUACGUGAAAUUGUCAAAAGGGAAGCGUUUGACACCAGUGUUGUUUUUCCGAAAAUCAAUUACGAAAGUUGAUUUUGUGUUGUAUUGACCUUAUCAGCUUGCUUCACUCUUUUCGUCUUUCUUAAUGCACUUUCGGUUAACAAGUCAACAUCAAUUUCUUUUGUUGUAAAAGGUAUUCGGAAGGUGGCUUUCUUUUCGGAGAAAGUGUUUAUAGCCUAUACUUCUACAAUCGGAGAGAUGAGGUCUGCAGCGUAGAUCCUUCGGGUUAGAUACAUUUGUGCUAAGUACAGCUUUUCAUAGACAACUUGU
This 1319-nucleotide unclassified non-coding RNA is filed under the name uncultured Neocallimastigales. RNAcentral describes it as "partial contains small subunit ribosomal RNA, internal transcribed spacer 1, 5.8S ribosomal RNA, internal transcribed spacer 2, and large subunit ribosomal RNA". The stretch from base 624 to 1319 matches the Rfam family "Eukaryotic large subunit ribosomal RNA", at positions 1 to 621 of the family's 3401-position model. The record is from RNAcentral. Lineage: Eukaryota; Fungi; Neocallimastigomycota; Neocallimastigomycetes; Neocallimastigales.